ACAGGUGGCUGCAUGGCGUGUCGUCAGCUCGUGUCGUGAGAUGUUGGGUUAAGUCCCGUAACGAGCGCAACCCUUGCCUUUAGUUGCCAGCAGUUCGGGCUGGGCACUCUAAAGGGACUGCCGGUGUUAAACCGGAGGAAGGUGGGGAUGACGUCAAGUCCUCAUGGCCUUUAUGACCAGGGCUACACACGUACUACAAUGGCCGAUACAAAGGGCAGCGACACUGCGAGGUGAAGCCAAUCCCGUAAAAUCGGUCUCAGUCCGGAUUGGAGUCUGCAACUCGACUCCAUGAAGUUGGAAUCGCUAGUAAUCGUGGAUCAGCAUGCCACGGUGAAUACGUUCCCGGGCCUU
RNAcentral lists this ribosomal RNA (351 nucleotides) under uncultured Desulfobulbus sp. Its description in RNAcentral is "bacterial SSU rRNA". It matches the Rfam family "Bacterial small subunit ribosomal RNA", at positions 1034 to 1382 of the family's 1533-position model. Lineage: Bacteria; Pseudomonadati; Thermodesulfobacteriota; Desulfobulbia; Desulfobulbales; Desulfobulbaceae. The record is from RNAcentral.